RNAcentral lists this ribosomal RNA (497 nucleotides) under uncultured bacterium. Its description in RNAcentral is "partial 16S ribosomal RNA". It matches the Rfam family "Bacterial small subunit ribosomal RNA", at positions 28 to 507 of the family's 1533-position model. The record is from RNAcentral.
GAUGAACGCUGGCGGCGUGCCUAAUACAUGCAAGUCGAGCGGACGGACGAGAAGCUUGCUUCUCUGAUGUUAGCGGCGGACGGGUGAGUAACACGUGGAUAACCUACCUCUCUUACUGGGAUAACUUCGGGAAACCGUAUCUAAUACCGUAUAAUAUUUUGAACCGCAUGGUUCAAAAGUGAAAGACGGUUUUGCUGUCACUUAUAGCUUGAUCCGCGCUGCAUUAGCUAGUUGGUAAGGUAACGGCCUACCAAGGCGACGAUGCAUAGCCGACCUGAGAGGGGGAACCGGCACACUGGAAGUGAGACACGGCCCAGACUCCUACGGGAGGCAGCAGUAGGGAAUCGUGGGCAAUGGGCGGAAGCCUGACGGAGGAACGCCGCGUGGGUGAAGAAGGGCUUCGGGUCGGAAAACCCUUUUAUUGGGGAAGAACAUAUGCGUAAGUAACUGUGCACGUCUUGACGGUACCUAAAGAGAAAGCACCGGCUAACUACGUG